AUUACCACCGAGCGGCGGGUAGAA
RNAcentral lists this small nuclear RNA (24 nucleotides) under Arabidopsis thaliana (thale cress). Its description in RNAcentral is "snRNA_07127". Lineage: Eukaryota; Viridiplantae; Streptophyta; Magnoliopsida; Brassicales; Brassicaceae. The record is from RNAcentral.